This 1491-nucleotide ribosomal RNA is filed under the name uncultured bacterium. RNAcentral's name for it is "partial 16S ribosomal RNA". The record is from RNAcentral.
GGUUACCUUGUUACGACUUCACCCCAGUCAUGAAUCACAAAGUGGUAAGCGCCCUCCCGAAGGUUAAGCUACCUACUUCUUUUGCAACCCACUCCCAUGGUGUGACGGGCGGUGUGUACAAGGCCCGGGAACGUAUUCACCGUGGCAUUCUGAUCCACGAUUACUAGCGAUUCCGACUUCAUGGAGUCGAGUUGCAGACUCCAAUCCGGACUACGACGCACUUUUGAGGUCCGCUUGCUCUCGCGAGGUCGCUUCUCUUUGUAUGCGCCAUUGUAGCACGUGUGUAGCCCUGGUCGUAAGGGCCAUGAUGACUUGACGUCAUCCCCACCUUCCUCCAGUUUAUCACUGGCAGUCUCCUUUGAGUUCCCGGCCGGACCGCUGGCAACAAAGGAUAAGGGUUGCGCUCGUUGCGGGACUUAACCCAACAUUUCACAACACGAGCUGACGACAGCCAUGCAGCACCUGUCUCACGGUUCCCGAAGCACAUUCUCAUCUCUGAAAACUUCCGUGGAUGUCAAGACCAGGUAAGGUUCUUCGCGUUGCAUCGAAUUAAACCACAUGCUCCACCGCUUGUGCGGGCCCCCGUCAAUUCAUUUGAGUUUUAACCUUGCGGCCGUACUCCCCAGGCGGUCGACUUAACGCGUUAGCUCCGGAAGCCACGCCUCAAGGGCACAACCUCCAAGUCGACAUCGUUUACGGCGUGGACUACCAGGGUAUCUAGUCCUGUUUGCUCCCCACGCUUCGCACCUGAGCGUCAGUCUUCGUCCAGGGGGCCGCCUUCGCCACCGGUAUUCCUCCAGAUCUCUACGCAUUUCACCGCUACACCUGGAAUUCUACCCCCCUCUACGAGACUCAAGCUUGCCAGUAUCAGAUGCAGUUCCCAGGUUGAGCCCGGGGAUUUCACAUCUGACUUAACAAACCGCCUGCGUGCGCUUUAAGCCCAAUGAUUCCGAACAACGCUUGCCUCCUCCGUAUUACCGCGGCUGCUGGCACGGAGUAGCCGAGGCUUCCUUUGGGGUUGGUCACUUUCUUCCUAACCCCUGACAGUAGUUUACACACCGAAGUGCUUCGUCCUACACGCGGCGUCGCUCCGUCAGACUUUCGUCCAUUGCGGAAUAUUCGUUGCUGCAGCCAUCCGUAGAUGUCCGGGCAGUGUCUCAGUCCCGAUGUGCCAGAUCGCGCUCUCACGCCUGGUACCCGUCGAUGCCUUGGUGGGCCGUUACCUCACCAACAAGCUGAUGGGAGAUAGGCCGCUCCAGACCUGCGGACCUUUGAUCAUCAGACCAUGCGAUCCAACGAUAUCAUCAGGUAUUAUCGGCACUUUCGCUAAAGCCCCGAAGGGCGCCGCUAUUCCUGUGUCCGGGGUACGUUACCUAUCUAUUCCUCACCCGUUCGCCACUAAGUGUGCUUCCGUUACCUUCCACACACUCCGUUCGACUUGCAUGCCUUAGCCACGCCGCCAGCGUUCGUUCUGAGCCAGGAUCAAACUCU